RNAcentral lists this ribosomal RNA (336 nucleotides) under uncultured eukaryote. RNAcentral's name for it is "partial 18S ribosomal RNA". It matches the Rfam family "Eukaryotic small subunit ribosomal RNA", at positions 1469 to 1796 of the family's 1831-position model. The record is from RNAcentral.
ACCCUUAGAUGUUCUGGGCCGCACGCGGGCUACACUGGCGCCUGCAUCGAGCAUAUCAGCUGGCCCGAGAGGGUCUUGGCUAAUCUUUUGAACCGGCGCCGUGCUUGGGAUUGACCUUUGCAAUUGUUGGUCAUGCAACGAGGAAUGCCUUGUAAACGCGAGUCAUCAGCUCGCAUUGAAUACGUCCCUGCCCUUUGUACACACCGCCCGUCGCUCCUACCGAUGAAUGUUCCGAUGAAAUUUUCGGAGAGUGCCUGUGAAGCCGGCUCCGCCUGUCGAAAGGGAUGCUCAAAGUCACUUAAAUCUGAACAUUUCGAGGAAGGAGAAGUCGUAACA